UGGCGGACGGGUGAGUAACGCGUGGGUAACCUGCCUCAUACAGGGGGAUAACGGUUAGAAAUGACUGCUAAUACCGCAUAAGCGCACAGUACCGCAUGGUACGGUGUGAAAAACUCCGGUGGUAUGAGAUGGACCCGCGUCUGAUUAGCUAGUUGGUGAGGUAACGGCCCACCAAGGCGACGAUCGGUAGCCGGACUGAGAGGUUGAACGGCCACAUUGGGACUGAGACACGGCCCAG
RNAcentral lists this ribosomal RNA (238 nucleotides) under uncultured bacterium. Its description in RNAcentral is "partial 16S ribosomal RNA". It matches the Rfam family "Bacterial small subunit ribosomal RNA", at positions 96 to 334 of the family's 1533-position model. The record is from RNAcentral.